RNAcentral lists this transfer RNA (85 nucleotides) under Bimuria novae-zelandiae CBS 107.79. RNAcentral describes it as "tRNA-Val". The record is from RNAcentral. Lineage: Eukaryota; Fungi; Ascomycota; Dothideomycetes; Pleosporales; Didymosphaeriaceae.
GGCUCGGUGGUGUAGUUGGUUAUCACGUCAGUCUCACAUUCAUGUGCGACACUGAAGGUCCCGAGUUCGAACCUCGGCUGAGUCA